This 168-nucleotide non-coding RNA is filed under the name Thalassiosira oceanica. The record is from RNAcentral. Lineage: Eukaryota; Bacillariophyta; Thalassiosirophyceae; Thalassiosirales; Thalassiosiraceae.
ACCCAAUCUUUGCGCUGGUUGCCUACCGUCCAUUUAUUUACCCCGAUCCCGUCAUUCCACCUGUUAGUCUCUCUCCAACCCUUGCACGUUUGGGUGCACCAGUGCUGAGGAUUGGAGACUCGCUGUUCACUGGAGACCCAAACAGUGCCAAUGGGUUGAGCCAUCAUG